RNAcentral lists this transfer RNA (104 nucleotides) under Neonectria ditissima. It matches the Rfam family "tRNA". Rfam says of the family: Transfer RNA (tRNA) molecules are approximately 80 nucleotides in length. Their secondary structure includes four short double-helical elements and three loops (D, anti-codon, and T loops). The record is from Rfam by way of RNAcentral. Lineage: Eukaryota; Fungi; Ascomycota; Sordariomycetes; Hypocreales; Nectriaceae.
GGUGCUUUGGCCGAGUGGUUAUGGCGCUGUGUUCAGGUGGAAUCAUCCACAUGAUACAAUUCGCAGUCUCGAAAGAGGCGUGGGUUCGAGUCCCACAGGCAUCA